RNA transcript from Manis pentadactyla (Chinese pangolin), 2534 nucleotides. It is a transcript of the gene named zinc finger protein 558-like, with no coding region annotated. Lineage: Eukaryota; Metazoa; Chordata; Mammalia; Pholidota; Manidae. The record is from RefSeq and is a predicted model, not a curated record. The transcript is spliced from 4 exons.
GCCUCGCGCAGGUCCCCGCAGACCCCGGAAGCGCCCAGCGCGAGGCGGCAGAGGCCCCGAGGAGCGUGAGUCCCGCCGCUUUCCGUCCCCCACACCGGGUCCGGGGUCUCUUCGGACUGUUCCCCGCCCACUACCGUGGUAACUCCGACGUCGUUGCGGGCGCCCGCGCGUACCCCUCGCGGUUCACAGUUCCCGUGAGGCCGAGCCCCGCCCCUGGCCUCGCUUCCACGCGCCUUUUCUGUCGUUUUCCUGCCUGAAUCCCUUCCCUGGCGUCUCAGGCCUUCCGCACCUGGUGACCCUCCACCACGGGCUGUGCGGCCCCCGAAGCGCAGCGCCGGCCGCCCAGCUCCAGGAGGAGGUCCACCGCGCCCACCGGUCCACUGCUGGCCGCCCGCCGCCCCUAACCGCCUCCCCGCGGCCUCGUGCCGGGCCCUCUGCCCCCCAGGCCGCCCUUGCGAGGCGCCUCCUCCUCGGACCGCGGUGCGGGAGGUGAGACGGGACGCCUGGGGCGCCCGGGCUCGAGCCCCGCAUUCCGCCGACGGGUGAACGUGCUCUCCCGGGAGGCCGCGCCCGGUGCCGCCGCGCCCAUGGGCUCGCGGGCGACGGCGCUGGGGAGAGGUCGGGCCGGAGCGGCGGGGACAGAAGCGGGACGAGUGCGGAGGCCGGGAGGCUGCGGGAGAGCAGGCGCGCGGAGAGGACGGGCGAGCCCGGGAAGGAGCAGGCGGCGGAGCCGGGAGGCUUAGAAGCCAGCGGGGCCUCCGGGUGGAGGAUUGGCUUCUAAGAAAGACUCACGUUCCCUGAGGCCAGAGUCCGGAAAAAGAGGAGGAGGACGGCAGAGAAGGAGCCGGGAAUGGCUGUUCCUCAGGAUGGUUGACCUUAAGGGAUGUGGCCGUCAGAUCUCCCAGGAGGAGUGGGAAUGCCUGGAUCCUGCUCAGCGGGCCUCGUACCGGGACGUGAUGCUGGAGAACUACAGGAACCUGGUGUCCCUGGCUCCUUUAUGGAAUAACUUUGUAACCAGGGCAGGAGACAGACCUCCAAAGUGUAAAUAAACCUACGUGGACAAAGAAUGCUGAAGUCUGAACCAACGCAGUCACCUAAAUAACCCUAUUCUUAAGACAAAACUUCGAGGGAAUUAUGACUCACCUGUGUACAUGAUGCCUUAUGCAGACCCUUACCCAAAAGGCCCUAUAAAACCCCAGACCCUAAACCCUUAAGUGCACCUCCUCUCUGAGGUUGACCAUACUCCCCUUUCUUUGAGUGUGUUGCUCUCCCUGUUCUACUCCAGAUGAGUAGGGAGGGGCUGCUGAGCUCUGAUCCAGGUGGGCUUGCAAGUUCCUGCUGCCUGGGUGACCCAGACAGGACUGCAGCUUUAUGAUUAUGCUCUUUAGUAGCCUGCCUGAAAAAUGUCCUUUCUUUGCCUUUGGGAAGUUCUCAGAGCAUCAUGUCACUCCAUCCAGUGCUCUGAGGCUCCCCCAAAUCCUGGGGUGGUAGGGCUUAGUCCCCACGCUGUGCAGAUCCAAGCAGACAGUGGACGUCAGGCCACCCUGGCUUUAGGAGUUGGCAGGGGAUCUGCCCUAUGCGGAGCAGCAGUUCAAGAGCUUCCCUUUCCUUCGUCUAUUUUUCCUUCCUCUCUGCUUUAUUCAGGCACACCUGCCUUUAUCUAUCUUGACUCUAGCCCACUUCCCCCGGAGUGUACGCAAAUAUACCUGCCUUUGUCUGCCUUAACUCUGGCCUGACCCCCCCCCCCCCCGCCCUUGAAGUGCUUUCAAAUAAAACUUUCAUUCUGCUUCACUCCUGUGUCUCCGCCCUUCAGGUCUUUGUUGCGGUGGGACAAGAACCGAGGGGAAUGAGCUCAACCCACAAAAUAAUUAAAAACAAUUUUUUAGUUGAUUUGAAUAUGCAACCAAGCUUGAAAAUCACAGUACUAUACCCUUAUCUCUUAAGGGGUUGUCUGGUAAUUGUCUGGCCUGGAACAACUGGGGAUUUUGUAAAGGAUGCUAUUUGCUGCAGAGUGUCCUUGGCUGGGUGAAGGAGCCAUAGAGUCAGUUCUUAACUUCCUCCUCCAUCUGUCACCCCCCGCCCACCCUCCCACGUCCUGUUGCGCCCAAUUCUGACUCAGACUGAAGUGUGGGAACCAUUGCACCCAACCAGGGGUUGGCAGGUGUUUUCUGUCAAGGCCCCAGUAGUGAACAUUUCAGCCUCUGAGCAAUCUGGUCUCUGUGGCAACUCUUGCCAUCAUGACAUGAACUAUUUCACAGGUAAUUUUGUAAAUGAACAUGCAUGGCCAUGUUCCAGUGAACCUUUACUUAUGGAUACUGAAAUUUGAGUUUUCUGUAACUUCCAUGUGUCAGAAAAUACUAUUUUCUUUCAUGCGCUUUCAUCCUGUUUGGGGUCCUCCGGGCUUCGUGGGCAUGUCUGUCCCCUUGAUUGUGGAGAGGGGUUUGCCUGCGUUCAGACUCACCAAAUUGUUCACAUUCACCGUGUACGGUUCUUUGUAAAUCAAUUAUCCCCCAAUAAAGCUGUUAAAAGUAUGA